Non-coding RNA from Caenorhabditis elegans, 110 nucleotides. The record is from Ensembl. Lineage: Eukaryota; Metazoa; Nematoda; Chromadorea; Rhabditida; Rhabditidae.
AAAUACAGUUUUUAGAUUUCAAAUAUAUUGAUUUUCAGCCAAAUUAGAGCGAUUUGAAGUUGGUGGCCUAGGAAUCCAAAUUUCGAGGUUUCUAGGACACCAAAAAUUAA